GAGCCUCGCCCGAUACUGAGCCGGCAAGACGGAGGGGAGGCAUUAGGCGUAAGAGGCUGCAGCAGUGUAUUAAGUCAAGGCCCUCCACUCAUCGGCCGCCGCGCCCCUUGUGUGAGCCCCGCCAGGAGGACCGGGGAGGACCGCCGGGCUCUGAAGGGACUGGGCGGCUGCCAACACGAACGAUAUGCCCGUCAGCCGAACUUACUAGAGUGACUGCGCUGUCAUAUUAGGGUUAUUUUGUUUCUUUGACAUGAAACAGGUUUUCGUAGAAAGGAUCGUAUAUUACCUGAAUUUCACUCCACUGUACUCCCACACGACCUCUGCGUGUAACGAAACACACGAGAAAUUAACCCAGACGAGGAUAGGGUUUGCCGGCGCCGGGGAUCGAAGCCGCGACCAACGACAUGGGAGCCAGUCGCCCAGAGAAGUACACCCCCUCGCAGGACGUCAUAGCUUCUUUCCGUGCAUUUUGCCCGGAACUCAAUGCUGGAUCUCCCACUGGCGAAGAAAAGGAGAGAAAAAGAGUAAAAUAAGACCCACGACAGUACUAAACCAUGCAGUGCCGUUACAGAGGCAAAACUGCACCAUCCUUGAACUGAGCCAAGACCAAGACUAUUUCUGCGCCGGGAGGGGCGGGAAAUGUUUGUCUGAGACGGAAAAACCUACCAAGGGAAGGCCGAGACACAGGUGGCAGGACACAGGUGCUUAGGGAGGGACGAGGAGAGGCCUGUGGUGCUGUGAGGGGUGACGAGGGACGAGGGCGAGGAUGAG
Molecule: long non-coding RNA, 771 nt
Organism: Eriocheir sinensis (Chinese mitten crab)
Lineage: Eukaryota; Metazoa; Arthropoda; Malacostraca; Decapoda; Varunidae
Exons: 4
Source: RefSeq, a predicted model, not a curated record